Molecule: ribosomal RNA, 590 nt
Filed under: Acinetobacter johnsonii
Lineage: Bacteria; Pseudomonadati; Pseudomonadota; Gammaproteobacteria; Moraxellales; Moraxellaceae
Description: bacterial SSU rRNA
Rfam family: Bacterial small subunit ribosomal RNA
Source: RNAcentral
GGAUAGUGGACGUUACUCGCAGAAUAAGCACCGGCUAACUCUGUGCCAGCAGCCGCGGUAAUACAGAGGGUGCGAGCGUUAAUCGGAUUUACUGGGCGUAAAGCGUGCGUAGGCGGCUUCUUAAGUCGGAUGUGAAAUCCCUGAGCUUAACUUAGGAAUUGCAUUCGAUACUGGGAAGCUAGAGUAUGGGAGAGGAUGGUAGAAUUCCAGGUGUAGCGGUGAAAUGCGUAGAGAUCUGGAGGAAUACCGAUGGCGAAGGCAGCCAUCUGGCCUAAUACUGACGCUGAGGUACGAAAGCAUGGGGAGCAAACAGGAUUAGAUACCCUGGUAGUCCAUGCCGUAAACGAUGUCUACUAGCCGUUGGGGCCUUUGAGGCUUUAGUGGCGCAGCUAACGCGAUAAGUAGACCGCCUGGGGAGUACGGUCGCAAGACUAAAACUCAAAUGAAUUGACGGGGGCCCGCACAAGCGGUGGAGCAUGUGGUUUAAUUCGAUGCAACGCGAAGAACCUUACCUGGUCUUGACAUAGUAAGAACUUUCCAGAGAUGGAUUGGUGCCUUCGGGAACUUACAUACAGGUGCUGCAUGGCUGU